AACGAACGCUGGCGGCAUGCCUAACACAUGCAAGUCGAACGAGACCUUCGGGUCUAGUGGCGCACGGGUGCGUAACGCGUGGGAACCUGCCCUUAGGUUCGGAAUAACUCCCCGAAAGGGGUGCUAAUACCGGCUAAUGUCUUCGGACCAAAGAUUUAUCGCCUUUGGAUGGGCCUGCGUUGGAUUAGCUAGUUGGUAGGGUAAAAGCCUACCAAGGCGACGAUCCAUAGCUGGUCUGAGAGGAUGAUCAGCCACACUGGGACUGAGACACGGCCCAGACUCCUACGGGAGGCAGCAGUGGGGAAUAUUGGACGAUGGGCGAAAGCCUGAGCCAGCAAUGCCGCGUGAGUGAUGAAGGCCUGAGGGUUGUAAAGCUCUUUUACCCGGGAUGAUAAUGACAGUACCGGGAGAAGAAGCUCCGGCUAACUCCGU
This 432-nucleotide ribosomal RNA is filed under the name uncultured bacterium. RNAcentral's name for it is "partial 16S ribosomal RNA". It matches the Rfam family "Bacterial small subunit ribosomal RNA", at positions 29 to 506 of the family's 1533-position model. The record is from RNAcentral.